RNAcentral lists this ribosomal RNA (395 nucleotides) under uncultured bacterium. Its description in RNAcentral is "partial 16S ribosomal RNA". It matches the Rfam family "Bacterial small subunit ribosomal RNA", at positions 523 to 917 of the family's 1533-position model. The record is from RNAcentral.
AUACGUAGGGAGCGAGCGUUGUCCGGAAUUACUGGGUGUAAAGGGAGCGUAGGCGGGAGUGCAAGUCCGAUGUGAAAUACAUGGGCUCAACCCAUGGGCUGCAUUUGAAACUGCAUUUCUUGAGUGAAGUAGAGGUAAGCGGCAUUCCUGGUGUAGCGGUGACAUGCGUAGAUAUCAGGAGGAACACCGGUGGCGAAGGCGGCUUACUGGGCUUUUACUGACGCUGAGGCUCGAAAGCGUGGGGAGCAAACAGGAUUAGAUACCCUGGUAGUCCACGCUGUAAACGAUGAUUACUAGGUGUGGGGGGACUGACCCCUUCCGUGCCGCAGUUAACACAAUAAGUAAUCCACCUGGGGAGUACGGCCGCAAGGUUGAAACUCAAAUGAAUUGACGGG